UUUCCGUAGGUGAACCUGCGGAAGGAUCAUUCAUAAUAAGUGUUUUAUGGCACUUUUUUAAAUCCAUAUCCACCUUGUGUGCAAUGUCAGGGUUGAUUUUUCUCUCGAGAGGAUCAACCCCAAACAUCAACUAUAUCUCAACUCUUUGUCUGAAAAAUAUUAUGAAUAUAACAAUUCAAAAUACAACUUUCAACAACGGAUCUCUUGGCUCUC
Molecule: unclassified non-coding RNA, 213 nt
Filed under: plant metagenome
Description: partial contains small subunit ribosomal RNA, internal transcribed spacer 1, and 5.8S ribosomal RNA
Source: RNAcentral